Molecule: transfer RNA, 73 nt
Filed under: Paramuricea clavata
Lineage: Eukaryota; Metazoa; Cnidaria; Anthozoa; Malacalcyonacea; Plexauridae
Rfam family: tRNA
About the family: Transfer RNA (tRNA) molecules are approximately 80 nucleotides in length. Their secondary structure includes four short double-helical elements and three loops (D, anti-codon, and T loops). Further hydrogen bonds mediate the characteristic L-shaped molecular structure. tRNAs have two regions of fundamental functional importance: the anti-codon, which is responsible for specific mRNA codon recognition, and the 3' end, to which the tRNAs corresponding amino acid is attached (by aminoacyl-tRNA synthetases). tRNAs cope with the degeneracy of the genetic code in two manners: having more than one tRNA (with a specific anti-codon) for a particular amino acid; and 'wobble' base-pairing, i.e. permitting non-standard base-pairing at the 3rd anti-codon position.
Source: Rfam by way of RNAcentral
GACCGCGUAGCUCAGUUGGCAGAGCAUUUGGCUAGUAUUCCAAAGGUCGUAGGUUCGAUUCCCACCGUGGCCA